ACGUACUAACUUGCGAUAAGCGCAGAUAAGGCAGUAAGAGCCGUUUGAGUCUGCGAUUUCCGAAUGGGGAAACCCAACUGCAUAAGCAGUUACUGUUAACUGAAUACAUAGGUUAACAGAGCAAACCGGGGGAACUGAAACAUCUAAGUACCCCGAGGAGAAGAAAUCAACCGAGAUUCCGGUAGUAGCGGCGAGCGAACCUGGAUUAGCCCUUAAGCACUCGGUGAAGUAGGUGAACAAGCUGGAAAGCUUGGCGAUACAGGGUGAUAGCCCCGUAACCGACGCUUCAUCGAGCGUGAAAUCGAGUAGGGCGGGACACGUGAUAUCCUGUCUGAAUAUGGGGGGACCAUCCUCCAAGGCUAAAUACUCCUGACUGACCGAUAGUGAACCAGUACCGUGAGGGAAAGGCGAAAAGAACCCCUGUGAGGGGAGUGAAAUAGAACCUGAAACCGUGUACGUACAAGCAGUAGGAGCACCUUCGUGGUGUGACUGCGUACCUUUUGUAUAAUGGGUCAGCGACUUAUAUUCAGUGGCAAGGUUAACCGUAUAGGGGAGCCGUAGCG
Molecule: ribosomal RNA, 563 nt
Filed under: Vibrio cholerae
Lineage: Bacteria; Pseudomonadati; Pseudomonadota; Gammaproteobacteria; Vibrionales; Vibrionaceae
Description: partial 23S ribosomal RNA
Rfam family: Bacterial large subunit ribosomal RNA
Source: RNAcentral